CAGAGUGGGGUGGCAUGGGUGAGCGCAGAGGAAAAAGACAGGUGAGAGUUAGUUUAAAAAAAACCCCGAACACCCAAAACCCUACACCGUUACCGCAGUGAUGGGUAGCACAAACACUGUCACACAGACACAGACACUGAAGGAGAACAGGGUGGGUUACGUGGUCUGAGAGUUACUUUGGUAAACAUGGAAACUGCUCAUAAACAGCUGGAAUAGAGUGAAUCUAAAGGAGGGAAAGGCCACUGCCCGACACUCAGAGAAGCCAGUGGGUGGCAGCGUCUGAGACCUCCUCACUUCCCCAUCCCAAAGAAGUGGCUGACACACAGCUCUCCUGGGAAGACCAAUCCACCCAAUUGAGACUACUCUGGGAUGAAAAAAUGGGAAAAGAAAAUGAAAAAGCCUAAUUUUUAGUGUACCAUUCCUCAGAACUGGUGGACCAGACCCUAAAUCUGAAGAUUCUGACGGAUUCUAAAGAAUGGAAGGUGGGUCUUGGUCUCCCACAACAAGAAGGCAGAACUACAAUGGAGGAGCUCAGCUGCUGAGAACACAACCCAAGAAUCACAUGCACAGCCGCAUAAUCCUUCUGCCCACGAGCUUUUCACUGCACACAUCUGGAAGAUGUUAAUCUGGACACACAAAAUGCCUUCUCCUGACUCUGGUCGCCUGGGUGUGUGGGGCUGGGGAAGGGGUCAGGGAGGUUCACAGUAACUGGGUGCACAAGUGCCAAUGGCCGAGUGGUCAGAGCACGGUCACCGUCACUGUGGCCACUCCCUGUGCAGGGAAAGCAGAGGAAGGCCAGCCGAUACUUCCUUGGAAGUUGAUGGCAAGAACUCUGACUCAGAGAGGACACAGGGACUCCUGGCUCUGGGGGUUAAGCUCUCUUCCUAACCUUGGGGACACAGCACAUACAAAGACCUUAGAGCCAGUGGCUCUUAAGACAACAGAAUAUCCACGUUCUGCACAAAAGUGUGGAUGCUUUGCUUAAAGCAAGGAUAAAGAAUCAUCACUUUUCUCCUCAGAAAAUCCUCAGAAUCAAGACAUAGGACCACAAUAAGUGGCCAUCGGCGCUGCCUGUGGAGCUCCUCCUAGCCUCAAUGGGAGCUGCAAACGUACCACCUCUGUUAAAAAAAUCUAAAGGCAAUACGAUAAAAUGUUUACAUUUGUUCAUUUUGACUACUAGGUAUGUGAUGCUUUUAUCUGUAUUUUUCUACAUUUCUAAAAUAAAAUGUGAACGAAAGACACAAACCAAAGGAGAGUGAAAAGAGAACAGAAGGUAUUCUGGUUAUCACUUACAGAAAGCACACACCAGCACCCGAGCGCUUUAAAACAUUUUAAAAAAUUACUGCUUGAUGAGUACAAGAUGCUCUGCUGGAGAGACAAAGAGUGGGUGGGAUCUGGCCAUGGUGCUUCCAAGUGAAGCAUAGGUGGCAAGAAGCAGGGACGAGAUGUUAGGCCUGGGUGUGCCUCGGUCUCCCAGUUCCUGGGCAGCCAGGAGGGAGGACACCUCCUACAGGAGACAGACCCACCAUGACCUGAGCUCGGCCCACCCUCCUGAGUCACUUAGGGAAAGGAACCUGAUCCCAACUCUUCACUCAGUUGUCUGGUGGCACCACACGCCACACACAGCAGCCAAUAAAUGUUAAAUGAACUGCUCUCUAUCGCUCUGAAAUUAUGAAAGUUGAUUAAAAAUCAACUCUAUUUUUAGCUCAUUCUUCCCAGCCAUCAAGGCAGCAAAACUUGACCGGGCAGACCCAGAGCGCUCUGGCGGUCAGGAGGAGGGGCGGUGAGACUUCAUCCCUUACUGUGCUGGGAAUGAACAAAUUCAUUUAAAUAGCUAAAAUUCUGUCAUAAUUUUGGACUUUUGAAUUGGCUUUUUAACUACUUAACUCAAGUUCAUUUCAUAAGACUGACAAUUUGCAAACACCAAACACCAAUGAUAAACAGGAGAAGUUUCACGCUUUCCUCCCUUCUAUUUUUAGAAUUUAUGUUUUGAGUUCUCCUUUAAUUAUGUUUGAAGUAAACUUCAAUCAUUUUUGUCACUGUGGGCAGUUAUACUAUAGAAUUUAUACAGAAACCACAGAUGAUGACAUUUUAAAAUUGGAAUCUAAUUCAAACGCUGCACUUGAAAGACAACAGGAAAACUGAGGACAAGAGUUAAUGGGAACUUUCUCCAAGUCACCAAAUCAGUCAAGGGCAGCUCAGCUUGGGCCAGAAAGAAGAGACUGCCCAGUGCCCUCUCCCUACCCCAACAGAGUAAGACCUGGAUGCCAGCACAGAACACUGGCCCCAAGGCAAAACAGCGCCCAGACUCAGCUAUGUCUGCUGUCAAGUUGGUUCUAGUUAAGAUGGCAAUGACCCCAUGGGUCUCUCUAUCUGGACCUUUCUGUCAGUAGCCACACCUUGAACCUUCUUUCGGGCCAACCAGGAAAGGCCUUGCUAGGAAACCUGAUCCAGUCCUGAGACCAGAGUCCGGCCUUCCCAGGGACAUGUGGUGGAACGUGUGCCCAGGCAUCUCAUGCUGGAGCUCCCAACCCUCCUCCAUGGGAGGUGGGGUUGAUAGUACAACCUGGCACAAACUAAGAUGCGCUUCUGGGGUCCACCUGGAACCUGGCCCCAGACAUAACACGUCCUGGGAAAUGGUAUCCAGUUCCUAGCAAUCACCCACACACUUAUGGAACAUAACCCACAUCUAAUUGAGAAACUGUCCCAACGUUAAAGUUUUAAUUAAGAUAAUCACUAACGCCCCCAUCUCAACAAUACUCCUGCUACAUUCACAGUAUGUUCCAUGUGUACACAAUGUCUGACAGUAAUCCUGAUGUCCCAGGAGUAUACAGGAGCUCUGUGUGUCUGCCGAGUCUGCUGUGACAGGUAAGAGUCUACCUGUUAAUUAUCCCUCCAUCUGUUACUCCAGGGGCCAGGAGAACUGCGAUGUUAGGAUAGAGGCUCUAGGCAACAUUUCCUGGCCUUCUCAAAGUUGGUCAGAAAGAUCAAGAACUCAGCAGAAACUAUUUCACAUAUUCCACUUUAUUUAACCAAUUCUGGGUGGACAUAGCCCUGUUCACACUGCAGACCAGCAUCGGCCACCCUUGGGAACAGCUUCCUGCCCUCACUCAUGGCUGGCACCUACCCAGCACUGCCCUUCCACCCCUUGUGCUUCUCUAACAACAGCAGAAUGUGCUCUCAAAGGUAUGGGUAUGAGCAUCCCCUGAGCGUCUGUUUCCCCACAAGAGAAUGGAGAAGCUGUGCCUGCAUCUGCAGGGAAAGGGGAAGGGCAGCUCAGAGGAGGCAUUAGAGGGACCCAAGCUUGGGGAAGGCUGCUGUGUCACUCAGAAUACCACUACAGUUAGUCACUUAGCCCAGACCUACACGCGGCCACACAGUCCAUCCUGCUUUGGCAGGUUCCUGCACCAGAGCUACAAUGCUUCCUCAUCACUUGGGUUGCUGACCAGUCUUCACCACCACCUAACUCCUGUGUGACCCUGGACUAUUUGCUCAAUCUCUCAGUUUUGAAUUUAUCUCACUACCAUAGAGUCCCACAGCUACUUAUCUCAAAAGAUUGAUAAUCAUCACACUAGCUCGCACCUUCAUGGAGCUGAGUAAGCUCCAGGCACUAUUCUAAGAAGUUCAUAUAACUUUGAAAACAACCUUACAGAUGAGGUGAUGGAAGCACACAGCUAGUUCUGGCAGAGCUGGGACUCCCACCUAGGGAGCCGGCUCCAGAGACCAGGCCCUGAGGUUAGGAUGAGAAGAUGGGUAUAAGAGUGCUCUAGGAACUGUCCAUUGUCCAGGAACAAAGUGGUGAUGUCAGACUAGCUGUGUUUUGAAGACCUGCACACAUCAAAUUCAUGACCAAUUUCCUACAGAUUCAAAUAUACAUGGUUUACACUAUUUCCAUUCUCUCUUUCUAAAGAAAGAACUUAUCACAACUUUUAUGCCACACUAUCUCAAAUCCUCCAGAUGAAAAUGCACUUUUUGCCACAAAAGGGGGGCUGCUCCCUGACUUUCUCCUAGUGGUUCUGAAGGGCUCCCAGUCAGAGGAGGCAGCGUCUCUUUCUCAGAUGAGUGUAGGAAGCUCUGAGCUCCUCUGUGUGUGUCUCCUGGUUUAUCAUGUCCUCUUGCUUGCUCACCCUCACCAUGUUGAUGCUAAACCUCACAGACGCACAAACACUUGGGGACACUACUCCAGAGUGGAAUGUAAGACAAGGCUGACAGGGCCUAGAAACAACUAGAAACAACAAUGGAGGCCCUGCCUCUGCCUCUGACAAGAGCUGUGAAUGAGGAGCUGGGCAGUGUCAACAGGCCUGGGAUUUCUCACCCUUCACAGACUAGCUGGGUUGGGACUGCCUGGCGGACUUCCAAGAAACCUUGGCUGCGGCUCUGUCCUGACCUGACCAGCCUCAAGCAGGACAGAAGAGAGCCUUAGCCCUCCCAGGUAUGAGAGCUGAGAACCACCAAAAAAGGUCUGUUUUGAUAUCAAGAAACUGGCCACCAUGGAUGCCACUGGGAGAAGAACUGGGGAGAAGCAGUUUCGGGAAAGACAGGGGGAUCCUCACCUCCUCUGCGCCUUUCUUCUAGCGCACUAUGGAACACAAACCUCUGAGGCCCGUGCCUGGGAUGGCUUGGCGGUCAGCGCCCUUCUCUGGAUAGAUGGCCCCAGGCACGCAGGUCUCCCAGGUGGGCCAUCUUGCCCUAAAGCUCCUGGAGGGGACUCCCUGCAGGGGUGCGGGCCCUGAGCCCCUCUCCUAAGGAGGACUCAGGGUGCUGAGGGGGCUUCAGGACAGGUGAGCACAGGCUGUGUCGUUGGGCCUGGGUGCUACAGGGGCUAAGUGGGGAGGAACAGGAAAGAGGCUCCAAGUGCCCUGGAGACACUGCAAAGAGAAGCCUACUUCUUCAGAGCACAGAGUUGUCACCACCGAAUAAAGUAGCAGGAUUUAACUGAGGCCUUGUCUACAAUCUGAAUUGGCUCUAUUCAAUCAUAUCCAGGAGGGUUUCUCGAAUCUUUCUUCCUAAAACUGCUAAAGGGCAGGUACAAAGUGGAGGAAACUCUGUAUUAUCUACAAGCAUUUCUGAAGUGAAGACAGAGCAAUGACAAACUGCUAACAAUGGUCCCAGAACCAACAGUGUUUGAAAACUAGCCUUACCUGACUAGUGUCUGACCCUCCAUGUCAUACUCUGGUAAUGCCCUUAAGGGCAUGUGGGUAUUACAGAGCGUUAGAGACCGUUAUUUAGAGGAGGCGAAUUUUGUCUCCUCUCAAAGAGCAGAAUUAGGCAGGUAGGUGAUCAUCAGUUUUGUUAGCAUGCAUAGGGUUUCUUGUGAACAAUGUGGCCAUUUCAAAAUUAGUCACAUCAUCAUCUCUUUAGCAAGGUUAGCAGCACGGUCACUUAGAGCAGAUUAACUAGAGAGCGCAGCUGUAGGUGCGAGCCCAGCCACGCCCUGCGCCUCAUGACAGCAGCGGAGGGGUGCAGGCAAGUGUGACAACAACUGCCUGGGCGCUGCACAUGCGCCUCCCUGCACGCCAGGGACGCCUUCCAAAGUUUCCUCAGUGUGAUCACGGGCAUUUCACAAUCCAGACACCCAACUGCACAACUUGCUCUGGAAUUCACCCUGUCAAUGGCAGGGCACACCGUGCUUCAGAGAGGACAGCGUGUGACAACAGUUUUGAGCAAGGCCUCAUCUGGGCAGAGGCAGCACUGCACUGAGAUUUGGAAAUGAAGCCAGAAGAGCUAGUUUCUGGAAUAUCUUCUGACCCGCCUGCCCAGAUUAAUUCUCACCCACGUUUGAAGAAACAGUUACUGGAGCAUCAUCAAAAUUUACACAACUAAUUCCGAGAGGAUCAAGUUUUGCAAUGUGGUGACCCCUGACCUGGAAGCAAUAAUACAAGC
Molecule: long non-coding RNA, 5883 nt
Organism: Equus quagga
Lineage: Eukaryota; Metazoa; Chordata; Mammalia; Perissodactyla; Equidae
Exons: 3
Source: RefSeq, a predicted model, not a curated record